Molecule: ribosomal RNA, 1267 nt
Filed under: Triticum aestivum (bread wheat)
Lineage: Eukaryota; Viridiplantae; Streptophyta; Magnoliopsida; Poales; Poaceae
Description: partial small subunit ribosomal RNA
Source: RNAcentral
GGGACAAAUCACAAAGUGCAGAUGAGAGGAGGGGAACAAAAUCCCUAGGCGCUGGAGGGAUCGAUCGGGCAUGGCUACUCAUCUCUCUCCCUCGCACCUCCUUCUCGACCUCCGGCCGCCGCCACGGCCAGGCCGGCGUGGUGGUGCGCCUCCGCCACCCAUCCAUCCACGAGCAUACCCACCUCCAGCACCACACCACCAUAUCCACUCCACCAGUAGCGCCACCACCACCAGCUCGCGCGCACGACCAGCCAAGCACCUGCGCCGCCAUCUCCCCGCGCCGCCUAGUACCUUCAGCACCACCAGCGCCUCCACCGCGCCUUCACCCCACGCUCGCGCGCCCGACCAGGAGAGGCGUCUGGUGCCCCGCGCGAUUCUCCUUGCCUCGCUGCUUCUCUUCUUCCUCCUUCCCUUGCCUCGCUGCUUCUCUUCUUCCUCCUUCCCUUGCCUCGCUGCUUCUCUUCUUCCUCCUUCCCUUGCCUCGCUGCUUCUCCCACGCCCCUGCCGUUGUUCAUCUCUCUGCUCCUCCUCCUUUGCUUCCCCUAACGCUGCUGCUGCUGCUCUUCUUCUCAGCCCCACGCUGCUGCUCCAUCUCUUCCACUUCCUCCACUUCCCUCCUUCUCUGAACUCGAAGCUUCUAGCUGCUGCUUCUUCCUUGUCCCCUGCUCUGCUCCUAAUCUGAACCAUAAAUUGCUGCUACUCCCAUUCAUUCUCUAAAUUUCUGUAGACUUGUACAGUGCCUUGUAAUACCAUAUUCGUAUUUGUGUGUGUGUGUGUGUGUGUGAAAUAUAUUAAUUAUGUACUGCACUUGCUACUGAUUAGUGUCCAGUUUACUAUAGACUGUUGCUCAAGUUCCUGUGAUAUAUAUCAUGUUUGAUAGUUUAGUCUUCUAGUUAUUGUUGCACUGAUUUAUGUCAAGGAGAUUUGGCCAGUGUGAUGUGAGUCCAGUACAUGUGCUUUAUAAUCCUGUUCGUAACCGGUGUUCAUUUUGUAGUCCUAGUGAUAUAUCUUGUACCUUGUGCUAGCUACGAACCUGUGAUAUAUAUGUGUGUGUUAUGUUCAUGUCCUUUUACUUCUCUUGUCAUUGCUGAUAGCUUUUGUUAGUAUCUUAAUUUCUCAAGCAUUACGAAAAUACCAAAAAGAUUGUUGAAGAUAAUUUGAACCUUCCUUGCUACUGUGUUAUUUUCUUUAUCGUCAACUUUGGUUAGUUUAGGUCUAUAUUUCCUUGCAAUCAUCAUCUAAAUUCUAUUACCUAGCUUUAGCCGAG